UAUGUGGAGAUCACAUCAAAUGAUGUGGCACCAAGUUUCUUUAAAAUUUUUCGUACCGUUGACCAUACUUCUCUCUGUAAUUAUCUCGCCAGCUUCCUUCUUGGGGUUUUGAUCCCUUUGAACCCUUCAGAAUCCCAUUAUUCAUAUAUAUUGUUUUCUUUUACGUAGAAACUUAAACAAGUAGACGAACUGCUCACUGUUCCUUUUCCUCCUGAGAAUUUGGAUUAAUCCCCAACCCAUUUUCUUCUUCCAAGAAACAGAGCUCGCAGACAACAGAAACAGUAUCGAAAACAGCUUUCUUCCUAAAAUGGUGACGAAGACUGUCGAUCUUCGUUCAGACACCGUCACCAAACCAACCGAAGCGAUGAGGGCUGCGAUGGCGAGCGCCGAGGUUGAUGAUGAUGUAUUGAAAUAUGACCCAACUGCCCUCCGUUUAGAAACAGAAAUGGCUAAGAUCAUGGGGAAGGAGGCGGCUCUUUUUGUGCCUUCCGGCACUAUGGGGAACCUCAUUAGUGUUCUUGUUCAUUGUGAGAUUAGGGGCUCUGAGGUUAUUCUUGGGGAUAAUUCUCAUAUCCAUAUUUAUGAGAAUGGAGGUAUUGCAACUAUUGGAGGGGUUCAUCCUAGGACUGUUAGGAAUAAUGGAGAUGGAACUAUGGACUUGGAUUUGAUUGAAGCUGCCAUUAGAGACCCUAGAGGAGAGCUUGUGUUUCCAACUACUAGGCUUAUCUGCUUGGAAAACUCACAUGCUAACUGUGGAGGUAGAUGCCUCUCUGUGGAGUAUACAGACAGGGUUGGAGAAUUAGCUAAGAAGCAUGGCUUGAAGCUUCACAUUGAUGGUGCUCGUAUUUUCAAUGCCUCAGUUGCACUUGGCGUUCCUGUUAACAGGCUUGUGCAAGCAGCUGAUUCUGUAUCGGUAUGUCUAUCUAAGGGUUUGGGAGCUCCUGUUGGCUCUGUCAUCGUUGGUUCAAAAGCAUUCAUUACCAAGGCAAGACGGCUGAGGAAAACAUUGGGAGGUGGGAUGAGACAGGUUGGUAUUCUUUGUGCUGCAGCAUUGGUUGCAAUACAAGAGAAUAUUGUGAAACUUGAGGGAGAUCAUGAGAAUGCUAAGAUUUUGGCUGAUGGAUUAAAGGAAAUCAAAGGAUUGCAAGUGGAAAGCCAUUUGGUUGAAACAAAUAUAAUAUUUGUAGAUAUAAAAAAAGACUCAACAAUAACAGGGGAAAAGCUAGGCGAAAUCUUGGAAGAACAUGGCAUACUUUUAUUGCCAGAAAGUUCAUCAAGGGUUAGAAUUGUUCUUCACCACCAAAUUUCAGCAACCGACAUACAAUACACCUUAUCCUGUUUCCAGUUGAAACUUAACAUAGAACACAUAUUUUGUUCCUUUUUUUGACCGGUGGAUAUCUCAUAUCUGAAUGAAACAAGUGUUUUAACGUCAUUUAUUGGACGACAAGCAAUGACUGGAGCAAUUACAAAUGAAAAUGGCGUGUAGAUAAACGACACCCGUUCUCGAGUCGAUGUAAUUUCUCUGUGCUCUGUAAAUAGUUUGUAUAUAAAAGAUUAAUCUCUGAAGCAUCAUUACAGUAAACUAUCUUCACAUUGGUGUUAUGAACUUGUUUUAAGAGUAACUCAGAAGUUGUUUGUUGUUUCCCCCUUUAUCAAUGGUGUUUACUUUAAUCAAAA
This is an RNA transcript of Benincasa hispida (wax gourd), 1677 nucleotides long. It is a transcript of the gene named low-specificity L-threonine aldolase 1-like, with no coding region annotated. The record is from RefSeq and is a predicted model, not a curated record. Lineage: Eukaryota; Viridiplantae; Streptophyta; Magnoliopsida; Cucurbitales; Cucurbitaceae.